CCUUCUUCAUGUCCUUUAAAUACACUAUUAUUGUGGUUUUUUCCUGUGCAUUGUGCAUUAUUCUGUUGCCAGAUGCUGUUGCUUCCCAUUUAAAAUUUUUAUGCUUAAUCAUUGCUUUCCCAGAGCUUAGCGUACCACCUGGUGUUGAAAGAGUGUGAACGAAGUUUUUUGGGGUUAAUGAAUAAAUAAAUGAAUGAAUACAAGAAACCCUUCCAGUAAGACCCAAGAGCGUCCCGUAUCUCGCGUUAGUUCCCUUCUCCGCGCAGCGCCUUCCUACGGCAGCUCCCUUGUACACGGCAGAGAAAUCAUUACCAAGAAAGUCCCACAUGCCGUGGCCUCCGGCUGCGUUCCUGACCUCAGCUUGCUGCCUGCACACUGCCCCAGUGCGGGUCCCCAGGGAUCAGGAACCUGCUGUAGUAGGCAUUCUACUACUUGAUGAGUGGAUGAAGACACAGGAACUUAAAGGCCUUGUUGACCUGCUGUAAAAAUGUGCCCCAUGUGUUUGUGUUAAAGCCUCGGGAAGAGCUGGGCUUAAAAGAUGCCAAGAUCAGGUAAUGAACUGAGGCGAGAACAUACCUGAUACUGACCCUUCGUCCAUCCACUACCCAAGUGCUAUAGGUUCACAAAAUCUGUUUUUAUCUCUUGAAUAAGGCAAGUUCUUCCCCACUCCUUACCUUCCCUGCAUGGCUGGCCUUGGCCACUUCUGUAACUCAU
This 714-nucleotide long non-coding RNA is filed under the name Fukomys damarensis (Damara mole-rat). RNAcentral's name for it is "lncRNA (ENSFDAG00000027970.1)". Lineage: Eukaryota; Metazoa; Chordata; Mammalia; Rodentia; Bathyergidae. The record is from RNAcentral.